Molecule: long non-coding RNA, 1012 nt
Organism: Micropterus dolomieu (smallmouth bass)
Lineage: Eukaryota; Metazoa; Chordata; Actinopteri; Centrarchiformes; Centrarchidae
Exons: 3
Source: RefSeq, a predicted model, not a curated record
UGUAGUUUGAUGACGUUGUGAAGUACGUUGGGAUCAUGGGAGUUGUUGUCUUCAUUGUUAAACAAUCACUAAUGCUGAUAGAAACCUAUCUGACAUGACAGACAGGCAGACAUCAUGUUUCUGAAUGAGUGUCUUAACCUUGGAAACAUUUGGGAAAAUCUGUGCUCUUUCAAGGUGUUUUAGAAUGACUGUCAAUUUACAAAGAGCUCCUCAGUAUUAGUCCGACACAUGUAACUACAGUGUGUGGGGAGUAGAUUCAGAGGGAGGGAGGGAAAUUUGAGCACUAAUGCCAAAGUGGAAUUUGCCAGUUCUCUUUUCUAACACCUCCCUCUCUCUGAAACAGAGGGGAAGUCGAAAACACCAUUUGUCAGUGCACAUUACAUCUCUGUUGUUAUAGUCCCAAAUGAAAGCCCAGUAUGUGGCUCCUUUCAACAGAAGAUGCUAACAGGCCUUGUUAAUUGGACUUGGCUUGGUUCUCCACGAAGCCUUAUUGUCUUAUUGCAUGACUGACUGAGGAUUACUGGGCCAGAAAUGCAUCGACACAUACUCUUAACUGAGCACAGAGUGUGCAACAAAUGUAUCCUUUAAAUGAAGACUACCUCAAUUAAAAAUAAUAACACCACUUUAAAAUGAGGCCAAAAUGUUGAAAUUCUCACAGCUCUUUUUUCCACAGCCAUGUUUCAGCUAUAAGCACAGAUCUUGAAAAGUGAAAACAUUUGUAUGCGGGCUACAACUAGAUUUGUGUAACUGUCCGGCAUGAAGGAGUCAGAGGGAUGGCUUGGUUUAACUUGGGGCAGGAAAAAUGCAGUCACUUUGAAGUUUCUAUUGGAUGAGAGUUUUAAAAAUUAAGGAAAAUUAAGGAAAGGCAGUUGCAUAAAAUCAGGACAUGUGGAGCAGUGUUCUUUUGUUUCCUAAAGAGUGGAUGUUUGUAAGAAACGUCACUAAUGAAGUUUCAAUAUUUUAUCAACAGUAUCGUCACUGAUACUAAAUAAACGUUAUUACAGUUAUCUAA